This 343-nucleotide unclassified non-coding RNA is filed under the name soil metagenome. RNAcentral's name for it is "partial contains 5.8S ribosomal RNA, internal transcribed spacer 2, and large subunit ribosomal RNA". The stretch from base 1 to 120 matches the Rfam family "5.8S ribosomal RNA", at positions 35 to 154 of the family's 154-position model. The record is from RNAcentral.
GAUGAAGAACGCAGCGAAAUGCGAUAAGUAAUGUGAAUUGCAGAAUCCAGUGAAUCAUCGAAUCUUUGAACGCACAUUGCGCCCGCCAGCAUUCUGGCGGGCAUGCCUGUUCGAGCGUCAUUUCAACCCUCGACCUCCCUUUGGGGAAGUCGGCGUUGGGGACCGGCAGCACACCGCCGGCCCCGAAAUGGAGUGGCGGCCCGUCCGCGGCGACCUCUGCGUAGUAAACCAACUCGCACCGGAACCCCGACGUGGCCACGCCGUAAAACACCCAACUUCUGAACGUUGACCUCGAAUCAGGUAGGACUACCCGCUGAACUUAAGCAUAUCAAUAAGCGGAGGA